This 301-nucleotide long non-coding RNA is filed under the name Mytilus galloprovincialis (Mediterranean mussel). The record is from RNAcentral. Lineage: Eukaryota; Metazoa; Mollusca; Bivalvia; Mytilida; Mytilidae.
UGUCAUAUUCCUGAUUUGGUACAGACAUUUAGGUAUGUAGACAAUGGUUUAAAAAAAACCAGGGAUAUAUAGAAAAUAGACAUAGACAUAGAAAAACGGAGAGCUGUUUGAAAAAAUUAUACAUAGAACGGAAUAUCCCAAUAUGUUUAAGGGUGAAUUGUUCUGAGGGAGAUGGAACAUGCGUUUGUUCAAUGGAUUGAGUCAUUGGGGAAUAUAAAAAAAGGUAUGUUAAAAUCUUGUCAUAACAAAUCAUUGAAACAUGGAAAACAGGUAACGAGAUUAAGCUUUUGAUAAGAAGAGG